GAGAAUACUUCCAGAAGGAGGAGAAACAAUGGAGGCAAAGCCAAUCCAGAUGAGCUGUCCCAGCCAAGCCCAGCUAGACAGACUAAUUCCUAAUUUACUGGCAGACAAGGGACUGGGCCCGAGGUACAUCGCUACAACCAACCCAGCAGAGCCUAGCCGAGAUCACCUGCACGCCAGCCAGCAUUGAGAUAUGUUCUCAGCCCUGUGCGGCCAUGGGAAGUCAUGUCCUCUACACCGACUUGGAACAUGUCACCUGGAUUUAGGUUACAUCUGAGAUUGAUGCACUGUGCUAUCUACACAUGCCAGCAAAAUCUGUAAGUUGCUUCAUCUGAGAAAGCUGCUGGGGUUUUUGCUGCCACAAGUACAAACAAAGGCUGUCUGGGGAGAGCCAAGGGUGUGAGGG
Long non-coding RNA from Choloepus didactylus (southern two-toed sloth), 403 nucleotides. RefSeq lists it as uncharacterized. The record is from RefSeq and is a predicted model, not a curated record. NCBI's taxonomy places the organism in Eukaryota, Metazoa, Chordata, Mammalia, Pilosa, Megalonychidae. The transcript has 3 exons.